RNAcentral lists this ribosomal RNA (253 nucleotides) under uncultured bacterium. Its description in RNAcentral is "partial 16S ribosomal RNA". It matches the Rfam family "Bacterial small subunit ribosomal RNA", at positions 524 to 776 of the family's 1533-position model. The record is from RNAcentral.
UACAGAGGUCUCAAGCGUUGUUCGGAUUCAUUGGGCGUAAAGGGCGCGUAGGCGGGAUGGCAAGUCGGUCGUGAAAUCCUUCGGCUCAACCGAAGAACGUCGGCCGAUACUGCCGUUCUUGAGGGAUGCAGAGGAGAUUGGAAUUCCCGGUGUAGCGGUGAAAUGUGUAGAGAUCGGGAGGAACACCGGUGGCGAAGGCGGGUCUCUGGGCAUCUCCUGACGCUGAGGCGCGAAAGCGUGGGGAGCAAACAGG